This 72-nucleotide transfer RNA is filed under the name Pternopetalum vulgare. RNAcentral describes it as "tRNA-His". It matches the Rfam family "tRNA". Rfam says of the family: Transfer RNA (tRNA) molecules are approximately 80 nucleotides in length. Lineage: Eukaryota; Viridiplantae; Streptophyta; Magnoliopsida; Apiales; Apiaceae. The record is from RNAcentral. RNAcentral also lists the same sequence under 1 other name.
GCGGAUGUAGCCAAGUGGAUCAAGGCAGUGGAUUGUGAAUUCACCAUGCGCGGGUUCAAUUCCCGUCGUUCG